Molecule: ribosomal RNA, 253 nt
Filed under: uncultured bacterium
Lineage: Bacteria
Description: partial 16S ribosomal RNA
Rfam family: Bacterial small subunit ribosomal RNA
Source: RNAcentral
GACGAGGGGUCCAAGCGUUGUUCGGAAUUAUUGGGCGUAAAGCGGGUGUAGGUGGCUCUAUAAGUCAGGAGUGAAAUCCCCGAGCUUAACUUGGGAAGUGCUUUUGAUACUGCAGAGCUUGAAUGUGGGAGAGGAUAAUAGAAUUCCAGGUGUAGUGGUGAAAUACGUAGAUAUCUGGAGGAACACCGGUGGCGAAGGCGACAUCCUGGACCGGUAUUGACGCUGAGGCGCGAAAGCCAGGGGAGCAAACGGG